CCUUCGAUAGCUCAGUUGGUAGAGCGGAGGACUGUAAAUCCUUAGGAUCGCUGGUUCCAACUCCGGCUCGAAGGA
Betta splendens (Siamese fighting fish) is the source of this 75-nucleotide non-coding RNA. NCBI's taxonomy places the organism in Eukaryota, Metazoa, Chordata, Actinopteri, Anabantiformes, Osphronemidae. The record is from the annotation of a RefSeq genome assembly.